GAUGAAAGAUGGCGGCGGGCCGAAUACAUGCAAGUCGAGCGAACAGACGAGGAGCUUGCUCCUCUGACGUUAGCGGCGGACGGGUGAGUAACACGUGGAUAACCUACCUAUAAGACUGGGAUAACUUCGGGAAACCGGAGCUAAUACCGGAUAAUAUAUUGAACCGCAUGGUUCAAUAGUGAAAGACGGUUUUGCUGUCACUUAUAGAUGGAUCCGCGCCGCAUUAGCUAGUUGGUAAGGUAACGGCUUACCAAGGCGACGAUGCGUAGCCGACCUGAGAGGGUGAUCGGCCACACUGGAACUGAGACACGGUCCAGACUCCUACGGGAGGCAGCAGUAGGGAAUCUUCCGCAAUGGGCGAAAGCCUGACGGAGCAACGCCGCGUGAGUGAUGAAGGUCUUCGGAUCGUAAAACUCUGUUAUUAGGGAAGAACAAAUGUGUAAGUAACUAUGCACGUCUUGACGGUACCUAAUCAGAAAGCCACGGCUAACUACGUG
Molecule: ribosomal RNA, 497 nt
Filed under: uncultured bacterium
Lineage: Bacteria
Description: partial 16S ribosomal RNA
Rfam family: Bacterial small subunit ribosomal RNA
Source: RNAcentral